RNAcentral lists this unclassified non-coding RNA (211 nucleotides) under uncultured Inocybe. RNAcentral's name for it is "sequence contains ITS1". The record is from RNAcentral. Lineage: Eukaryota; Fungi; Basidiomycota; Agaricomycetes; Agaricales; Cortinariaceae.
UUGAAUAAACUUGAACAGGUUGUUGCUGGCUCCUUUUGGAGCAAGUGCACACUUGUCAUCUUUAUUUCUCCAACUGUGCACAUAUUGUAGACGAGGGAGGAUUGCUGUGCUUUGUUUAUAAUAAAGUCAGCUUUGCCUUGCAUUUCUAGGUCUAUGUUAUUUUUCACAAUCUCUGAACGUGUCAGAAUGUUGAAUUCGUGGAUAAUAUAUA